RNAcentral lists this ribosomal RNA (2988 nucleotides) under Triticum aestivum (bread wheat). RNAcentral describes it as "partial small subunit ribosomal RNA". The record is from RNAcentral. Lineage: Eukaryota; Viridiplantae; Streptophyta; Magnoliopsida; Poales; Poaceae.
CCUAUAAAUCCAGCGCCAAUUGGCCGCCGAUCAAUUCGCCAAAGCACACAACACGAGCUUACAGCAAAACCAAGCAUACGAAAGCAGAGCAAAACCCCAAGCCUCCACCGCAAGCGAGCCGAGCACCGCCGGCCAUGGCUCCCAACCUCAGCAAGGCGACCGACGACCUGCUCGGCGACGUGGCCGUGGACGGCCUCAAGCAAUCGCCGCGCUUCACGCUCAAGGGCAAGGACCUCGCCGUCGACGGCCACCCGGCCCUCCUCGACGUCCCCGCCAACAUCCGCCUCACCCCGGCCUCCGUCCUCGUGUCCGCUGCCGAGGUAGCCGGCGCCACCGACGGCAGCUUCCUCGGCUUCGACGCCCCGGCGCCGGAGAGCCGCCAUGUGGUGCCGAUCGGCAAGCUGGUUGACACGCGGUUCAUGAGCAUCUUCCGCUUCAAGGUGUGGUGGACGACGCACUGGGUGGGCACCGCCGGACGCGACGUGGAAAACGAGACCCAGAUGAUGGUGCUCGACCGCACCGCCGACCGCCCCUACCUGCUCCUCCUGCCCAUCGUCGACGGCGCCUUCCGCGCAAGCCUCCAGUCCGGCGAGGACGACCACGUUGCCCUCUGCCUCGAGAGCGGCUCGUCGGUCGUGAAGGGGUCCGUCUUCCGGAGCGCCGUGUACCUGCACGCCGGCGACGACCCGUUCGAGCUGGCGAGGGAGGCGGCCAGGGUGGUGCGCGCCCACCUCGGCACCUUCCGGCUGCUGGAGGAGAAGACGCCGCCGCCGAUCGUGGACAAGUUCGGGUGGUGCACCUGGGACGCCUUCUACCUCAAGGUGCACCCGGAGGGGGUGUGGGAGGGCGUGCGCGGGCUGGCGGAGGGCGGGUGCCCGCCGGGCCUCGUGCUCAUCGACGACGGCUGGCAGUCCAUCUGCCACGACGAUGACGACCCCGCCGACGGCGCCGAGGGCAUGAACCGCACGGCCGCCGGCGAGCAGAUGCCGUGCCGGCUCAUCAAGUUCCAGGAGAACCACAAGUUCAGGGACUACAAGGGCGGCCUCGGCCUCGGCGGCUUCGUGCGCGAGAUGAAGGCGGCGUUCCCGACGGUGGAGCAGGUGUACGUGUGGCACGCGCUCUGCGGGUACUGGGGCGGGCUCCGGCCCGGCACGCCGGGGCUGCCGCCGACCAAGGUCGUGGCGCCCAAGCUCUCGCCGGGGCUCAAGCGCACCAUGGAGGACCUCGCCGUCGACAAGAUCGUCAACAACGGCGUCGGGCUCGUCGACCCGGAGCACGCGCGCGAGCUCUACGAGGGCCUCCACUCCCACCUCCAGGCCUCCGGCAUCGACGGCGUCAAGGUCGACGUCAUACAUCUGCUGGAAAUGCUGUGCGAGGAGUACGGCGGGCGGGUGGAGCUGGCCAAGGCCUACUUCCAGGGGCUGACGGAGUCCGUGCGCCGGCACUUUGGCGGCAACGGCGUGAUCGCCAGCAUGGAGCACUGCAACGACUUCAUGCUGCUUGGCACGGAGGCGGUGGCGCUGGGCCGCGUCGGCGACGACUUCUGGUGCACCGACCCCUCCGGCGACCCCAACGGCACCUUCUGGCUGCAGGGCUGCCACAUGGUGCACUGCGCUUACAACUCCCUCUGGAUGGGCAGCUUCAUCCACCCGGACUGGGACAUGUUCCAGUCCACGCACCCCUGCGCCGCCUUCCACGCCGCCUCCCGCGCCGUCUCCGGCGGCCCCGUCUACGUUAGCGACUCCGUCGGCAGCCAUGACUUCGCGCUGCUCCGCCGCCUCGCGCUCCCGGACGGCACCGUCCUCCGCUGCGAGCACCACGCGCUCCCCACCCGCGACCUCCUCUUCCUCGACCCGCUCCACGACGGCAAGACCAUGCUCAAGAUCUGGAACCUCAACAGGUUCUCCGGCGUGCUCGGGGCUUUCAACUGCCAGGGCGGCGGGUGGAGCCCCGAGGCGCGGCGGAACAAGUGCUGGUCCCAGUGCUCCGUCCCCGUCACCGCGCGCGCCGGCCCGGCGGACGUCGAGUGGACGCAGGGCACCGCCAAACCCGUCGCCGUCGAGGGCGCCGCGCAGUUCGCCGUGUACUUCGUCGAGGCCAAGAAGCUGGAGCUGCUGCUCCCGGAGGAGACGGUGGAGAUCACGCUCGAGCCGUUCAACUACGAGCUCCUCGUGGUGGCGCCCGUGCGCGUCGUCUCGCCGGACAAGGACAUCCGGUUCGCGCCCAUCGGGCUCGCCAACAUGCUCAACACCGGCGGCGCGGUGCAGGCCUUCGAGUCCAGCGAGGUCGGCAACGGCGAGGUGACGGUGGAGGUGGCUGUCAAGGGCGCGGGGGACAUGGCGGCCUACUCGUCGGCGAAGCCCAGGCUGUGCAAGGUUGAGGGCGAGGACGCCGAGUUCGCGUACAAGGAUGGCGUGGUCACCGUGGCCGUGCCGUGGUCCGGGUCGUCGUCCAAGCUGUCUCGUGUCGAGUAUGUCUAUUGACGUCUCGGGCUCUGUCUCAACCGGGAGCUUAGCACGUUUUGCGUCCAAAUAAUUUUAUUUAGGUGGAGCUUCGUAUUUGUACAGCUCUUAUCUUAUGGUUUUUUGGUUUGAUUUACCCUCUUUAUUCGAGGAUUUCAUCUAUCUAAACUGAAUCAAUAAAAUUUCUGGUUUUUGUUACAGUGAGUAUCUAUUUUGAAUGGGCGCUGCUACACGUCGGCCGGCGGAUCUUUUUAAUUAAAAUCUCCCCACCUCGCAAGCCAUCGGAUCUCACAUAUCGAGUGGCCGAGUGUCACCUUGUACAAUUGCAACAUAAAUCGUGUUGCAGGAAUUUUUACAACAUAGGUCAAGUUGUAGAUUUUUUUUUUUGCAACAUAGUUCUUGUCGUAGAAAUUUUCGUGACAAAAGUCUUGUUACAGGCCGGUGCAAGUCGACUGAUCCAAGAGUCAAUUUGACAAUGUUUCAGCCAAAUCCGUUAUAUUAACCGCGACGUCGACGAGCCCUACUG